CAGUCGCCGCGGUAAUACGGAGGGUGCAAGCGUUAAUCGGAAUUACUGGGCGUAAAGCGCACGCAGGCGGUCUGACAAGUCAGAUGUGAAAUCCCCGGGCUUAACCUGGGAACUGCAUUUGAAACUGUCAGGCUGGAGUCUUGUAGAGGGGGGUGGAAUUCCAGGUGUAGCGGUGAAAUGCGUAGAGAUCUGGAGGAAUACCGGUGGCGAAGGCGGCCCCCUGGACAAAGACUGACGCUAAGGUGCGAAAGCGUGGGGAGCAAACAGGAUUAGAUACCCCUGUAGUCCCUGUCUCUUAUAC
RNAcentral lists this ribosomal RNA (301 nucleotides) under uncultured bacterium. RNAcentral describes it as "partial 16S ribosomal RNA". It matches the Rfam family "Bacterial small subunit ribosomal RNA", at positions 509 to 807 of the family's 1533-position model. The record is from RNAcentral.